CACUGCUGUCGCACGAGUUCAGACUCGUGGCGAAUAGCUCAGUAACACGUGGCCAAACUACCCUUCGGAACACAAUACCCUCGGGAAACUGAGGCUAAUAGUGUAUACCAUACCACCACUGGAAUGAGUGGUAUGCCAAACGCUCCGGCGCCGAAGGAUGUGGCUGCGGCCGAUUAGGUAGACGGUGGGGUAACGGCCCACCGUGCCAAUAAUCGGUAUGGGUCAUGAGAGUGAGAACCCAGAGACGGAAUCUGAGACAAGAUUCCGGGCCCUACGGGGCGCAGCAGGCGCGAAACCUUUACACUGCACGACAGUGCGAUAGGGGGAUCCCAAGUGCACAGGCAUAGCGCCUGUGCUUUUCGGUACCCUAAGGCGGUACCAGAAUAAGGGCUGGGCAAGACCGGUGCCAGCCGCCGCGGUAAUACCGGCAGCCCAAGUGAAGGCCGAUCUUAUUGGGCCUAAAGCGUCCGUAGCUGGCCGCGCAAGUCCAUCGGGAAAUCCACCUGCUCAACAGGUGGGCGCCCGGUAGAAACUGCGUGGCUUGGGACCGGAAGGCGCGACGGGUACGUCCGGGGUAGGAGUGAAAUCCCGUAAUCCUGGACGGACCGCCGAUGGCGAAAGCACGUCGCGAGGACGGAUCCGACAGUGAGGGACGAAAGCCAGGGUCUCGAACC
This 674-nucleotide ribosomal RNA is filed under the name Halorubrum sp. S41. Its description in RNAcentral is "bacterial SSU rRNA". It matches the Rfam family "Archaeal small subunit ribosomal RNA", at positions 50 to 725 of the family's 1478-position model. The record is from RNAcentral. Lineage: Archaea; Methanobacteriati; Methanobacteriota; Halobacteria; Halobacteriales; Haloferacaceae.